This 233-nucleotide ribosomal RNA is filed under the name Bacillus licheniformis. Its description in RNAcentral is "partial 23S ribosomal RNA". It matches the Rfam family "Bacterial large subunit ribosomal RNA", at positions 2694 to 2925 of the family's 2925-position model. The record is from RNAcentral. Lineage: Bacteria; Bacillati; Bacillota; Bacilli; Caryophanales; Bacillaceae. RNAcentral also lists the same sequence under 1 other name.
GGGAUGGACGCACCGCUGGUGUACCAGUUGUUCUGCCAAGGGCAUCGCUGGGUAGCUAUGUGCGGACGGGAUAAGUGCUGAAAGCAUCUAAGCAUGAAGCCCCCCUCAAGAUGAGAUUUCCCAUUCCUAUAAGGAAGUAAGAUCCCUGAAAGAUGAUCAGGUUGAUAGGUCUGAGGUGGAAGUGUGGCGACACAUGGAGCUGACAGAUACUAAUCGAUCGAGGACUUAACCUA